AUCACUCUUUGAAGCAGUGAGGGAUCCUUUGGAGACUUUUCAGAAGCCUUAGUAAGCUGUGGACAACAUAUAGGUAUCAUAAAAAAAGUUAGAAAACCAAAGCCUUUGACUUAAAUUCAUAAAAUAGCAACAGUAUCACAAACUUUCCUUGAAUUUCUGAGCUCAGAGAAGCCCUACUCUGUUGAGGAGCUGAAUCAAGUUGUUAGCUCUGGUCACAUUUUAUUGCUGUGAUAGGAAGGCAGGAUUCAUAAGUACACUGUCCAAGGGAAUAAGGCCAGAUAAAGUCCUAUAGGAGCAUUGCAGGCAAGUUCAGGUUAAGGGUCCAUGCCUUUGCCUGGGUCUCUUCUGAAAGUCAAGGACAUUUUAGGAAGUGUAUUUGGAAAAUGAUACCAGGAAACAGGUGUGAAGAACUGGGUCAUGCAGAAGCACAUGAAGGGUUGGUCAUUCCUAUGGGUGGCUGGCCCUUGCUUGUGCUGGAAGCCUCUGAGGACCUAUACAAAGCAGACUUGUUCUCCACAUGUGGCUCUUGAAGGACCUGCACUGACAACGACUUGACUGUGUUAUAGGUACCAAUUCAUGCUGGUUUCCAGCAAUGUCUGGAGUACGAGAAGGGCCAAAAGAAUGUGACAAGGAAUGUAUGAUUCAGGAGAGGAGAAAAUAAUAGGCCAGUUUAGAUCUGACAGCUCCUUCAAUACCCGAACUUCCUGGAGGAAGCCAGGAAAUCACUUUGUAAAGCAUUAAGCUCUUCAUAAAGGGCCUUAAGCUCCCAGAAGGAAGUGCACUGUAUAAUUGCAUAGGACCUUAGUGUACAGAAAACAUUAAUAAGACACAGGAGAAGCCGUAGCUAUUCAUGCUGUAGUAUAUCCUUGAGGCAGGUGGAGUGUUUCCAUCUGUUGAAAGUGGUUUCAAUGAUGCCUCCCGAUUGGGAUCAAGUUAAAGAGGAUGGAUUUUUCACUUUAUAAGGAAAGAGCUUCUAAAAGAGAGAUAUUCAUCUGCUCUCCUUCCCUCUGCUUUGGGGAUCUAAACCUGUGCAGUCUUCCAUCUCUGUUUUCUUUCAUAUAACCCCAGGAAAACUUCCUUCCUAUCCAGUUUUCUCCUCUCUCCUUUGACCCUAAAAAUGUCUUACAGGUGGUCAUGAUCUGAUUGGAAUUAUUUGAAGAAAGGAGAGAAAAUAGCCCAUUGAGAUGAGAGUUGAUACGGGUUGGUGGGGCAGGGAUGGUUCAGGUGUGGAGUAGAGAUAUUCAUCCCACUAGUCCUUGGUGAGUGAUGUUUCAUUCAACAGAAUACAUUUCUGGUUUUUAUUCAGAAACAUUUCUUAAUCUGGAGAGGCAAUAACAUGAGCUGUCAAGAUGGAGAGAGAGAAUAUCUUUGCAGGCUUUUUCUACUCUGGAUGAGGGGAACGUUAAAACUCAAUUUAAAAAGUCACUGGGAAUUUGGGGUUAAUAGAUGCAAACUAUUGCCUUUGGAAUGGAUAAGCAAUGAGAUCCUUCUAUAUAGCACUGGGAACUCUAUCUAGUCACUUAUAUUGGAGCAUAAUAAUGUGAGAAAAAAGAAUGCAUAUAUGUACGUGGGACUGGGUCACUGUACAGUAGAAAACUGACAGAAUGCUGUAAACUAGCUAUAAUAGAAAAAAAUAAAAAUCAUUUAAAAAAGUCACUGUCAUUGCCAUUUGGAAUCUACACGUCCAUAGAUCUUUCCCUGGGGAGAAAUGUUCAAUCUCUCCCUUAUCCCCCUGCCCCACUCCUUUUUAGGUCUUCCAUUCUAGGGCGCAUCUCCUAAACACUAAUGGUAUCUGAUGAUGACACUUAGUCUAUCUCUCUUGUUGGAAACUGAAAGUUUCCCCUACACAGGUCAGGGCAGGGAUGUCUCAGUUUCUUAGUGUCAAAGGAAGAGCGAUGGUGCUUUUCUAGCUUCCUUUGUAAGAAACAAUGGUAAGAUUCUGAGAAUAAAUAAUUCCCCAUUGGAGUAAAACUCUUAAAUUCAUCUUCUUAAAAUGUACAUUUUCCUCAUGUUCCUACUCAGUUCCUGACUCUACAAUGCAUCUCUAAUAAAAUAGCCCAGGUACUAGCCUAGGGCUCUGCCCUUUAAUGUCUAUGCCAAACCAAUCCCAAACUGUGUACCUUAUAGGCCCUCUAAUGAUGCCGUUGGCCCGUGAGCUGACACACAGGAUAGACUUAUCAAAUCAGACUGACGUCAAUUGGAGGUCUUACCAGGAUCCAGUUUACUAAUUCAUUUCCAGGAUACAGGCAAUCAAUAGGCAAGGGAUCUCCAGGCUAUCAAGAAUGGAUCCCUAGAUUCUUCCUUUCCUACUUGAAGAAGCCCUUCUGGUUCAGAACAGAUGGCCUCUGCAUUUUGGUGUUAUGCUUCUUAUACAAAGGGAAUCCUUUGGAACCUAAAAAGAGACCCAACAAUUUUAUGCUAAAAUUAAAAAAAAAUUACUCAAACACCCAGAGUGGAAGAAACUAUCUGGGAAUCCAAACCUUACCAUCCCUGAGCAAUAAAAUUAUUCUAAAAUGUUUUAAAAUUAAUUUUUUUUCUAUUUUUAAAUCAUACCAUUGUCAUAAUUUGGGAUUCAUUUUAUAGUCUAGUCCCACCAGGUAAUGAUUGAUCAGUCUAUGCUUCCACAAUUGUUCAGUCAGACAGAUGUUUUGGCAGGAAGACAUCUUUUUAAAUAACGUGAAAACAUAUAUUAUCCUUCUUUAUUCCUUAAUUUUGUACAGAAAGAAGAUUACUAAGCUGGACUGGAUCUCAGCUUUGUUGGGUUCCAAGUUUGGUUUAAAGUUUAAAUUAAAAAAAAAAAAGUGGAGUUCCCAUUGUGGCUCAAUGGAAACAAAUCCAACUAGUAUCCAUGAGUAUGCAGAUUCGAUCCCUGGCGUUGCUCAGUGGGUCAGGGCUUCAUCAUUGCUGUGAGCUGUGGUGUAGAUCACAGCUGUGGCUCAGAUCCCACAUUGCUGUGGCUGUGGUGUAGGCUGUCAGCUGUAGCUCCAAUUUGACCCCUAGCCUGGGAACUUCAUAUGCUGUGGGU
Molecule: long non-coding RNA, 3025 nt
Filed under: Sus scrofa (pig)
Lineage: Eukaryota; Metazoa; Chordata; Mammalia; Artiodactyla; Suidae
Description: lncRNA (ENSSSCG00000062827.1)
Source: RNAcentral